RNAcentral lists this ribosomal RNA (464 nucleotides) under uncultured Planctomycetota bacterium. RNAcentral describes it as "bacterial SSU rRNA". It matches the Rfam family "Bacterial small subunit ribosomal RNA", at positions 365 to 819 of the family's 1533-position model. The record is from RNAcentral. Lineage: Bacteria; Pseudomonadati; Planctomycetota.
UUCGCAAUGCCCGAAAGGGUGACGAAGCGACGCCGCGUGCGGGAAGAAGGCCUUCGGGUUGUAAACCGCUGUCGGGAGUUAAGAAAUGCAAGGGUGUUAACAGCGUCCUUGCUUGACUAAGGCUCCGGAGGAAGCCACGGCUAACUCUGUGCCAGCAGCCGCGGUAAUACAGAGGCGGCAAGCGUUGUUCGGAAUUAUUGGGCGUAAAGAGCACGUAGGCGGCCGUGUAAGUCGGUUGUGAAAGCCUUCCGCUCAACGGAAGAACGGCAUCCGAUACUGCAUGGCUUGAGUGCGGGAGGGGAGAGUGGAACUUCUGGUGGAGCGGUGAAAUGCGUAGAUAUCAGAAGGAACACCGGCGGCGAAGGCGACUCUCUGGCCCGUAACUGACGCUGAGUGUGCGAAAGCUAGGGGAGCAAACGGGAUUAGAUACCCCGGUAGUCCUAGCCGUAAACGAUGGGCACUAA